RNAcentral lists this ribosomal RNA (406 nucleotides) under uncultured bacterium. RNAcentral describes it as "partial 16S ribosomal RNA". It matches the Rfam family "Bacterial small subunit ribosomal RNA", at positions 30 to 526 of the family's 1533-position model. The record is from RNAcentral.
AUUGAACGCUGGCGGCAGGCCUAACACAUGCAAGUCGAACGAGUGGCGGACGGGUGCGUAAUGUCUGGGAAACUGCCCGAUGGAGGGGGAUAACUACUGGAACCGGUAGCUAAUACCGCAUACCAUCGGAUGUGCCCAGAUGGGCUUAGCUAGGAGGUGGGGUAACGGCUCACCUAGGCGUCGAUCCCUAGCUGGUCUGAGAGGAUGACCAGCCAAACUGGAACUGAGACACGGUCCAGACUCCUACGGGAGGCAGCAGUGGGGAAUAUUGCACAAUGGGCGCAAGCCUGAUGCAGCCAUGCCGCGUGUAUGAAGAAGGCCUUCGGGUUGUAAAGUACUUUCAGCGAGGAGGCGUUACUCGCAGAAGAAGCACCGGCUAACUCCGUGCCAGCAGCCGCGGUAAUAC